GCUGGUAUCUCGCGGAGCAGCUCCUGUGCCCUUCUGUGCUCGCCGGUCGUGCGUCCGGCUCCCCGUCUUCCCCUCCCUGUCACAGCGCCGCGCCGCACUCCUUUCCUUCAUUCCCAUACCACUCUGAACUUGUGCGCGUCGUGUGAGGUGUUCUCCCAGGGGCGCUCCGUGAGGGCCGGGGACCACCUGGGGCCGGGUUGCUCACGAGCCGGGCACAGUGCACUCUCCCUUUAGUUGUGUUUGGGGGACGAGUAUCGCGGGGGAGGGGAGGGAGUCACCAUGCCCGCCGGAAACCCCCCGCUGAGUCGUCCGCCCUGCACCUGCCUCGGAGCCCAUGGUUCGGACGUUUGCCCGAGCCGUUUCCCGGGGCCUUCCCUCCAGCUCCGAGCGUCUGGCCGUGUCCGCGGCGAUAGCAUCGCCCCGUUACGGCCUCUGCGGGAGGGGGAACUGAGGGGACGACGCGGGCUCUGGAAACAUUUCGGACCCGUUUCGGGCAGGCAUGAGUCUUCCGAGCGCCUUGUGAUUCCUCGGGGGGCUCAACGUCGAAAGAAAGGCGAGGGAGACUCUGGGGCCUGGGCCACGCUGUGCGGGAGUAAGAGGAGCCGAGGACGAGGCUGACGGCCGUGAAACUAGCCGAGUGCCACAAAGGACCUUCCCCUCACCGCCUCUGGCGCUCCUUUCCUUGCAGCCUGGAGGGCCGGCUCUGGCUCUGCGCAGGCGCGCGGGCGCAGCCCCUCUCCCAACUCUUGUUUGCUCUUUCUGGCCAGCGACCCCAGUGUGGGGCACGCGGGAGAGCCCCACAUUUCUUCUAGUCGCAGUCCCGCCGGCGUGGGGUGGCCCCUGACCGUGCAACGGGCGCAAGGCUCGCACCCACUACGGCCCCUCGGGCGGCGGAGCGAGGCUCCGCGAACCCGGGACUGGGCGCGCCAGGCCCGCGCGCUGAGGCCCCCUCCCCCGGCUCUGGCCACGCGGGCUGCUCUGCCUCUGUGAGUGUGCGGGACACAGAGCCAGGGGGAGGGAGGGCCGUGUUCUGCGGUCACAGGCAGACAGGAGUGCCGGAAGAUGCAGUCUGGAGCCCCCGGGGGACUACGGUUCCGGCCCAGCAGCAGCCGCCAUCCCCACGUUGGGUGGCGAGAUCCGAAAGUUUCCAGCUACGAACAGUUUGCUUUUUUUUUUUCCUUGAUCGCUUUUUUUGGCAAGGGCGGAGAGCACCAGUAGCGUGGGGGGUUUAAAUGCACUUUCCCUGAAUGCAACAGAGAAAUGCCGGGCUGGAGGGCAAACUCCACCGGGACAGGGAGGCGGGAGAUAGCCUGAGCGCCCCCCCAUCCCCCACACUCUGAGCGUCGCAACCCCGGGGGCACCUCCAGGGACUACUUGCCUUGUGCGUCAGCGAGUGACAGCGUCACACACACGCCCCCUCCCGCACAUGCCCGCUGCACCCUCCCUUUCCCCCUCCCCUUCCCUUCUCUCUUUUCCCCUAGCUCUUCCCACCAGGCAGAGAGGCUCAGCCGACCCACACGCUCCCAGAGCACUGAAAGCUAAAAAUAUAGCCGGUGUGUUAGCAACAGCCUUCCCAUUGGUCGGGGGAAAGGGAGAAGCGGUGUCUGAUUGGGUUUAGGAUCCAGCCGCUAAGACUGGGCCCUUGGGAGUGUGCGUUUGCGCCAGCGGGCACGGCAAGGGAUGCUGGUAUUUGUAGUCAUUGAUUAAGGCAGCCAUGUAAAUAGGUGGGUUUACAUCCCAGUUCGGCUACCGACUGUGUGAUCUUGAUUUAAUGCAGCAAAACGCUUGACAUCACCAAACCUCAGUUUCCCCAUCUAUAAAAUGGAGCUCGUGUCGGGGAUUAAAUAUGAUGCUGUAUGUAAA
Long non-coding RNA from Homo sapiens (human), 1863 nucleotides. RefSeq lists it as uncharacterized. NCBI's taxonomy places the organism in Eukaryota, Metazoa, Chordata, Mammalia, Primates, Hominidae. The record is from RefSeq and is a predicted model, not a curated record. The transcript is spliced from 2 exons.